RNAcentral lists this transfer RNA (70 nucleotides) under Kinyongia fischeri (Fischer's chameleon). Its description in RNAcentral is "tRNA-Tyr". The record is from RNAcentral. Lineage: Eukaryota; Metazoa; Chordata; Lepidosauria; Squamata; Chamaeleonidae.
UGGAACGGGGGGGAAUCCAACCCCCAUUAAUAGAUUUACAGUCUACCGCCUAACACUCGGCCGCCAAACC